Molecule: ribosomal RNA, 253 nt
Filed under: uncultured bacterium
Lineage: Bacteria
Description: partial 16S ribosomal RNA
Rfam family: Bacterial small subunit ribosomal RNA
Source: RNAcentral
UACGUAGGUGGCAAGCGUUGUCCGGAAUUACUGGGCGUAAAGCGCACGUAGGCGGGUUUGUAAGUAGGGGGUGAAAUCCCAGAGCUCAACUCUGGAACUGCCUUCUAAACUGCAAGCCUGGAGGUCAGGAGAGGCGAGUGGAAUACCGAGUGUAGAGGUGAAAUUCGUAGAUAUUCGGUGGAACACCAGUGGCGAAGGCGACUCGCUGGACUGAUACUGACGCUGAGGUGCGAAAGCGUGGGGAGCAAACAGG